Long non-coding RNA from Ipomoea nil (Japanese morning glory), 334 nucleotides. RefSeq lists it as uncharacterized. The record is from RefSeq and is a predicted model, not a curated record. NCBI's taxonomy places the organism in Eukaryota, Viridiplantae, Streptophyta, Magnoliopsida, Solanales, Convolvulaceae. The transcript has 3 exons.
UCGAAAUACAAUGGAGAAAAAGGAGUGGCUCACUAUGGUUGCACGUCACAGUGACACAUGGCUAUUUCGUGUUGCAUUCUAUUUUAGUUCAAGAUUUCGCCAUGACCAAGCUGAUAGGAGUCGACUUUUCAAUAUGAUAAAUGAAUUCCCUACCAUCUUAGAAGUUGUGUCAGCUCAAUGAUGACAGCCAGCCAGAUCAGAGAUAAAGUGGCCAGUGUGUGGAAGAUGCAAUGAGAGGUAUAUAGAAGGUGACUUGUGGAAACAGUGUUCGGAAUGCCAAACCCCUUUCCAUUUGAUGAAAUGCCUCAAACUCAACAAGGAUAAGCAUCGUCUA